This 73-nucleotide transfer RNA is filed under the name Candidatus Fibrimonadaceae bacterium. Its description in RNAcentral is "tRNA-Lys". It matches the Rfam family "tRNA". From Rfam's summary of the family: Transfer RNA (tRNA) molecules are approximately 80 nucleotides in length. Their secondary structure includes four short double-helical elements and three loops (D, anti-codon, and T loops). Further hydrogen bonds mediate the characteristic L-shaped molecular structure. tRNAs have two regions of fundamental functional importance: the anti-codon, which is responsible for specific mRNA codon recognition, and the 3' end, to which the tRNAs corresponding amino acid is attached (by aminoacyl-tRNA synthetases). tRNAs cope with the degeneracy of the genetic code in two manners: having more than one tRNA (with a specific anti-codon) for a particular amino acid; and 'wobble' base-pairing, i.e. permitting non-standard base-pairing at the 3rd anti-codon position. The record is from RNAcentral. Lineage: Bacteria; Pseudomonadati; Fibrobacterota; Fibrobacteria; Candidatus Fibrimonadales; Candidatus Fibrimonadaceae.
GAAUCAGUAGCUCAAUUGGUAGAGCAGCGCCCUUUUAAGGCGCGGGUUGAAGGUUCGAGUCCUUCCUGGUUCA